GAGAGGUAUAUCGGACAAGAAGAGAAGGGAAUAAAUAAAGAACAGCUUUCGGUAUUUGCAAGGCUCGAUUUCAACCAUUAGUUUGUCAUUUGUUCAUGUUUUAAUCCACAUAACAAUUCCUGUCUCGUUUUUCUUAUUGUGGCAACAUGGAGCCAUCAUCGUAUAGUCAUAACACUACCAUCCUUAUUUUUCUUAUUGUUUAUUAGUAUCAGUGUUUAUAGCUAGAAACCAUUUUUAUCAAUCUUAUCAGAAUUAAUACUGUCCCGUAAUACUUUCUGAUUUAAUUACUGAUAGCCGACUAUAGUCAAGUCACUAAUGCGAAUGAGAAUCCUUCUAAUAUUAUUUUUAAUUAGUGCUUAAAGCUCCUCUCAAAUUAUUCACCUUACUAAAUUUGAGUUUAUUAUAGAUUUUUAACUUGAACUUAUUGUCAAUAUUUUUUUACCAUUUCCAUAUUAUUUUAUUAUUUAUCAAAUUAACGAUGUAUAUAUAUUUUUUAUUUACCCUUCACUCUUAGGCAUAAACAUCUGAAGUGUAGCAAUUGUAAGAAAUAUCAAUU
RNAcentral lists this long non-coding RNA (556 nucleotides) under Brassica napus (rape). Its description in RNAcentral is "long non-coding RNA (BNAP_LNC005809)". Lineage: Eukaryota; Viridiplantae; Streptophyta; Magnoliopsida; Brassicales; Brassicaceae. The record is from RNAcentral.